AUUGAACGCUGGCGGCAUGCCUUACACAUGCAAGUCGAACGGCAGCACGGGUGCUUGCACCUGGUGGCGAGUGGCGAACGGGUGAGUAAUACAUCGGAACAUGUCCUGUAGUGGGGGAUAGCCCGGCGAAAGCCGGAUUAAUACCGCCUACGAUCUACGGAUGAAAGCGGGGGACCUUCGGGCCUCGCGCUAUAGGGUUGGCCGAUGGCUGAUUAGCUAGUUGGUGGGGUAAAGGCCUACCAAGGCGACGAUCAGUAGCUGGUCUGAGAGGACGACCAGCCACACUGGGACUGAGACACGGCCCAGACUCCUACGGGAGGCAGCAGUGGGGAAUUUUGGACAAUGGGCGAAAGCCUGAUCCAGCAAUGCCGCGUGUGUGAAGAAGGCCUUCGGGUUGUAAAGCACUUUUGUCCGGAAAGAAAUCCUUGGCCCUAAUACGGUCGGGGGAUGACGGUACCGGAAGAAUAAGCACCGGCUAACUACGUG
Molecule: ribosomal RNA, 486 nt
Filed under: uncultured bacterium
Lineage: Bacteria
Description: partial 16S ribosomal RNA
Rfam family: Bacterial small subunit ribosomal RNA
Source: RNAcentral